Long non-coding RNA from Coregonus clupeaformis (lake whitefish), 842 nucleotides. RefSeq lists it as uncharacterized. NCBI's taxonomy places the organism in Eukaryota, Metazoa, Chordata, Actinopteri, Salmoniformes, Salmonidae. The transcript has 3 exons. The record is from RefSeq and is a predicted model, not a curated record.
AUAUUAUUAUUAUAAAAUUCGGUUAUCUUAAAAAAAAUGUUUUAUCCUUGCUUCGCUUGUUUAUAACAUUGCAAACUUUUUGGGCUAUUUAUAGUAAACUAUGACGUUUUCGGCGGUCACAGACAUACAGAUAAAGAUCUUCAUUCUAUGUUUAGCAGAGAUUUUCUGUGUGAAAAGUGACACGGGAGGGCAAACUUUGAUCUAACGACACACUUAGCUGUUCACCGAGUGGUCUGAGACAGUCGUUAGAUUACCAACGAUUUCAAGUGCAACGUUAAUAAAGACUGUUUUGGGAAAUGGCUCGGACAUUUAAAGAUGCUCUUACGAAGGUUCUAACAAUUAAUUUAGCCUUAAGAUGGUUUUGGGAAACCGGGCAAGGUAGAGUUUUUUGCAGCUCGUGGCUUCCUGUGCUCCACAGUCCUCUGUGCAAAAGAAGACAAAACAGGAAGUAGUUGGUUGUUGUUGUAUAGCUACUGUUUGCCAAUCCCGACUCUAAUCAUCGUCCACCAUUGGUCAUCCUGUCUUUCAUAGCCCUUAUGCUGCCACCAUCUGAGGCCCUCGACAUAAGAAGACUGAAGGCCAUCGUUGAAUGCAUAAUGAGGAGAGGUGCCAAGGCCUUGUGAUGUCUUGAUAUGAGACCAGCCUUGGAUCAAAGCAGCUCAAACAGGCUCCAAACCAGGCACCAAGACGCCUAGAACAUUCCCCUUUUACAGUUUAAGGAUGCAACACUUUACAGAUAUGAAAAAUAAUAUUGAAAAUCAAAUAAGAAUCUUGUAUGGCAGAAGAAGAUUACUUAUUAGAUUUUUGUAUAAAUAAUCUAAUAAAGAGCUGAUACAAUUUUG